This 406-nucleotide ribosomal RNA is filed under the name Wolbachia pipientis. Its description in RNAcentral is "bacterial SSU rRNA". It matches the Rfam family "Bacterial small subunit ribosomal RNA", at positions 993 to 1397 of the family's 1533-position model. The record is from RNAcentral. Lineage: Bacteria; Pseudomonadati; Pseudomonadota; Alphaproteobacteria; Rickettsiales; Anaplasmataceae.
UAUACCUAUUCGAAGGGAUAGGGUCGGUUUGGCCGGAUUUUACACAGGUGUUGCAUGGCUGUCGUCAGCUCGUGUCGUGAGAUGUUGGGUUAAGUCCCGCAACGAGCGCAACCCUCAUCCUUAGUUGCCAUCAGGUAAUGCUGAGCACUUUAAGGAAACUGCCAGUGAUAAGCUGGAGGAAGAUGGGGAUGAUGUCAAGUCAUCAUGGCCUUUAUGAAGUGGGCUACACACGUGCUACAAUGGUGUUUACAGUGGGCUGCAAGGUCGCAAGGCUAAGCUAAUCCUUAAAAGACAUCUCAGUUCGGAUUGUACUCUGCAACUCGAGUGCAUGAAGUUGGAAUCGCUAGUAAUCGUGGAUCAGCAUGCCACGGUGAAUACGUUCUCGGGUCUUGUACACACUGCCCGU